UAGUCCACGCCCUAAACGAUGCACACUAGUUGUUGCCUUGCUAGACAAGGCAGUAAUGCAGUUAACACAGUAAGUGUGCCGCCUGGGGAGUACGGUCGCAAGAUUAAAACUCAAAGGAAUAGACGGGGACCCGCACAAGCGGUGGAGCAUGUGGUUUAAUUCGACGAUACGCGAAGAACCUUACCUGGCCUUGACAUAGAGAGAACUUACUAGAGAUAGUUUGGUGCUAGUUUACUAGAGCUUUCAUACAGGUGCUGCACGGCUGUCGUCAGCUCGUGUCGUGAGAUGUUGGGUUAAGUCCCGCAACGAGCGCAACCCUCGUGUUUAGUUACUAACAGUUCGGCUGAGGACUCUAGACAGACUGCCUGGGCAACCAGGAGGAAGGUGAGGACGACGUCAAGUCAUCAUGGCCCUUACGGGCCAGGGGCUACACACGUGCUACAAUGGGUAGGUACAGAGAGCAGCCACUGCGUGAGCAGGGAGCGAAUCUAU
This 492-nucleotide ribosomal RNA is filed under the name uncultured bacterium. RNAcentral describes it as "bacterial SSU rRNA". It matches the Rfam family "Bacterial small subunit ribosomal RNA", at positions 791 to 1276 of the family's 1533-position model. The record is from RNAcentral.